Molecule: long non-coding RNA, 524 nt
Organism: Mesocricetus auratus (golden hamster)
Lineage: Eukaryota; Metazoa; Chordata; Mammalia; Rodentia; Cricetidae
Exons: 3
Source: RefSeq, a predicted model, not a curated record
AGGACCAGCAGUCGUGCUGAUUUGCCCCCAGGGAUCCUCUAAAAGUGCAUUUGGGGAUUAGGUCAUUGUUCCCAGCCAAAGGGAGACCCCAGAAAAGUUGGCAUGCACUCAAGGUCCUGGAUCUCAGCUCAUCUGAUUGGAGGUGGUGGCCAACCCAAGUACCUGCUGGUGCCCCCUGGUGGAAGAGCAAAGGAUACAAGCACCAUCUGGGUCAGGAAGGAAAAGAUAUGGUCAGGAAGGGAACAGGUUGCUCUGUGGAUCUUCCCAAUGACUUUAAAGAGCUGUGCUGUGACUCUCCCUGCUGUCCCCAUAGCACCCCAUCCUUGGAGCUUCCUGAUGCACACAUAGCAGAACAGAAGCUGAGAGACUGCAUUUCCUGGAGAUGGCUUACAUGAUCUCAGACAACUGGGAAGGGUGUCCCAUGAGGAACGUGUACGUCUGGGGCAGUGGGAAGAUUCAACUGGGAAAGGGGCUUGUUGUUAGUCAAGCCUUACCAUCUAAAUUUAAUCUCUCUAAUCCACAGG